CACAUUGCAAGUUAGUUCUUUAACAUAAUGUAUUUUGGGGGAACACAUAUCAAUCCAUAAUACCUUGGAUCAAAGUUCUCCUAAAUGGGACAACUUCAAAAAGUGGCCCUUUUGGUCAAAACAGCUACCACUAUUCAUAACACAGAAAUUAUGUUGUCAAAGGAAUUAUCCCAUGAUUCACUGAAGAAAACAUCGAGUUCUUGUGAGUCACAAAGAAAAUGGUGACCUUGGAGCAAGAGAUGGUCAAAUAUGCUUGGCCUUGCCGAACCUUCCUAGCACGGGAACUGAGAGAUGAUGAAGAGGAUUUUUGAACCUCCCUGGCUACUGCAGUUCCUAACUGUUCUGAAACUUCACAUCACUGUGUGACUCAACCAAAUCCUCGAUAACCAACUCCUUCGGGAUUCUAAGGACAAACACUCUUUUCUUGAGGUACAAUUAACUCUUCAAAAACCUCCCACUCUGGGCCUUACCUAAUUAUCACACGUUUGUCUAAUUAUAUAUAAUAUGAGAUAUUUGAACAAGGCUUGAGUGUUCUGACCCAACUUUUUGUGAAUCAUCAGAUCCCAACAGCAUACUACAGUUUCUCUCUUGACCUGGUGGCAAAAGUCUACUCCCCUUGCUUGGGGCACUAGCACAACCGCUAAACUAGUGGAGGCUCUAUAACUUCUUUUUUUAGCAUCUCCUUCAAAUGGAAAUCCCUCUGGGGGGCGGGAUUCUUUGUUGCGCAUUGAAAAUAAACAACAUCUCUCUGCAAGUAGGCUUAUCUCC
Molecule: long non-coding RNA, 768 nt
Filed under: Vulpes vulpes (red fox)
Lineage: Eukaryota; Metazoa; Chordata; Mammalia; Carnivora; Canidae
Description: lncRNA (ENSVVUG00000004779.1)
Source: RNAcentral